CAGUAGCCGCGGUAAUACAGAGGGUGCGAGCGUUAAUCGGAAUUACUGGGCGUAAAGCGUGCGCAGGCGGUUCGUUAAGACAGAUGUGAAAUCCCCGGGCUCAACCUGGGAACUGCAUUUGUGACUGCAUGACUAGAGUACGGCAGAGGGGGAUGGAAUUCCGCGUGUAGCAGUGAAAUGCGUAGAUAUGCGGAGGAACACCGAUGGCGAAGGCAAUCCCCUGGGCCUGUACUGACGCUCAUGCACGAAAGCGUGGGGAGCAAACAGGAUUAGAUACCCGGGUAGUCCCUGUCUCUUAUAC
RNAcentral lists this ribosomal RNA (301 nucleotides) under uncultured bacterium. RNAcentral's name for it is "partial 16S ribosomal RNA". It matches the Rfam family "Bacterial small subunit ribosomal RNA", at positions 509 to 807 of the family's 1533-position model. The record is from RNAcentral.